GUUCUUUGGCAGCACAAAUAUUGAGAUUGGAACGAUGCUGAGAAGAUUAUCAUGGCCUCUGAGCAAGGAUAACACAAAUUCCAGCUCUGAACCAUUAACAGUUUAA
This is a small nuclear RNA of Dipodomys ordii (Ord's kangaroo rat), 106 nucleotides long. The record is from Ensembl. NCBI's taxonomy places the organism in Eukaryota, Metazoa, Chordata, Mammalia, Rodentia, Heteromyidae.